RNAcentral lists this unclassified non-coding RNA (142 nucleotides) under uncultured Capnodiales. RNAcentral describes it as "sequence contains ITS2". Lineage: Eukaryota; Fungi; Ascomycota; Dothideomycetes; Capnodiales. The record is from RNAcentral.
CACCACUCAAGCCUGGCUUGGUAUUGGGCGACGGGACCUCCCCGCGCCUCCAUUUCGCCGGCUGGACGACCCGAUUCUCAGCGUUGUGACAACAAAUUCGCUAAUGGAGAGGGUGGUUUGCGCCGUUAAACAUCAUCUAAGG